RNAcentral lists this small nuclear RNA (18 nucleotides) under Arabidopsis thaliana (thale cress). RNAcentral's name for it is "snRNA_19223". Lineage: Eukaryota; Viridiplantae; Streptophyta; Magnoliopsida; Brassicales; Brassicaceae. The record is from RNAcentral.
AAUUAGCUUUCUUAUACA